This 2834-nucleotide long non-coding RNA is filed under the name Nicotiana benthamiana. Its description in RNAcentral is "long non-coding RNA (NBEN_LNC003497)". The record is from RNAcentral. Lineage: Eukaryota; Viridiplantae; Streptophyta; Magnoliopsida; Solanales; Solanaceae.
CUAAUCAAAGAUAUUAUCUACACCACUCAUUACCUAAAUGCAUGAAUUAUUUUAUUGACACAAACAUGUCCACAUAAUUGUCCAGAUUCUACAAAUAAUCUAAUAACACAAUAGUAGUAACUCACUGUGACUUAACUGCAUUUCCCCAUUGCUUAAGGGAUGACAAAUGAAUUGACUCUUUAAACAUUGACAACAAUUCAAACUAACAAAAUGUGGAAUCUAUUUUAAACGGGAAUUAGCUGAACCCAAUUAACUGUUUUAAAACCUAAAUCUUAGUUCAAAGAGCAGGAAUCAUUUGGAGUCGGGCAGUCCAUGACAUUUUAAUACAGUCCGGGACAUCUUUUAACAUCAACAAUGCAACUAAUUAAUAGAUAUGUGUAAACUCUAACGGUUUCAACAGUCUAAUUACACACGACAUUAACGAAGGAAAUAUCAAAAUACGAAUCAGUAGAACAGUUAAAUCAUCUUAAGCUUCAAAUCUUCAUGUAUAUUCAGGCUCAGUUUUUCCCGUCUACAAAUUUGCAAAGUUCAAUUGUGUACCUGGCAAUUAGAGCAAUGAGAAGAGGGAAAGGUCAACAACAAUAACAACUACCAAGAUCAGCCCAAGAACAAACUUCAGGAACCCAAUAGGAUUUGGAAACAUGAUUGAAACAAAGAAAAUAACCACAAUACAUUCUAGAUGCAAGAAUCGACCCCAAAGUCUUUAAGAACCAAUAAAAUCACCCAGAAGAAACCCCUAAAGGAGCUGGAAGCCAGUGGAAUUUAUUCCAAAACCAAAUCACAGUGAAUCAGAGACCCUAUUACGAACAUGAAACCACAAGAGAACCCAGCAGCAGCUCACAAGCAAUGGAACAAUAAAUUUUUGUUGUUUUCUUCUUAGUAAAGACCUUUUUUUUUGUAUUUUUCUGUAUUUAAAUGCUAAAAUUAAACUGAAAUUGAAAAUGGAGUGAAAAUCAGAUUUGUUUUUGGUGAGUUUCUUCAGCUGGAAAAUAUAGCCCUUUUCACAAGGCAUUGAAUGCCUUUAUAUAGGCAAGAACUAGGGCAAACCUCAGAUUUUUCCUUUUCUUUUUUACCCCUGCUCAUUUUUCACUUUGGACCUUAAUUUCCUAACUUGUUCUUCAAGUAUUCCCUAAGUUCUAUUGAAAUGUGCACUAAAGCCCUAUUUCAGGAUGUUCUAUACCCCUACAAUUCCUAUACUACCCUUAUUUCAUUUCAGAAUUAACCACUUUUAAUAAACUUGCCAUUUUCCUAUGCCUAAAUUACCCCUAAGCAGUCUGAAAAUUUUAAUCUAGCCCAACUAAACCCAAAUCCUUUAACCCCUGGUUAAUUACUAUGGUUAUCUAACCUCAAUCACCUAUAACCCUAAUUACAUUGCAAAUGAGCACUAAAUUAAUUGAACAAUUGACACUAAACUAAAAUCAAGCUAAAGCCAAACUGAAUCAAGGUAAACUAACGAAAUUUCGACCGCACUGAUAAUUCAAACUAAUUUUAAUUAAGCUAGCAUUUAAUAAUUAAACCAACAAAGGCAAAAAAGAAAUCAAAAUUACACCAGUAAGUACCCAGUAAUAAGGGUGUUAAACGGGCCUGGUCGAUCCGGUGCCGGACCGGCCCGGACCAAUAGAACCCGGAACCGGCCCGGACCGGUAGGGGGCUGGGCUGGGCUGGGUAGGGGGUUAGGGGGUUAGGGCUGGGCCCGGACAAAGUAUUAAUAUAACUUAAUAGUUAUACUAUACAUAAUUAUAAAAAAAAAAGAUAAAAAUAUACUAAACCCGCCCGGCCCGGCCCCUCAACCCGUAACCCGUAUGUGUCAAUUUUAAUCCGAACUAACCCAGCCCGCUACAAACCCGUUACUAUGCAACCCGGCCCGGCCCGGAACCCGGAAGGGCCAAAAAAAAUUGACCCGGACCGGACCGGUUGGUCCGUUUGACAGGUUUACCUAGUAAUGUGUAAAUUAUUUUCUUCAUACUAAUUUAAAUCGUCAAAUUAAACCAACGGACAAACUUGCAAAAGAAAAUUUAAUCCUAAGAAAACGAUCCUAAAUGAAGAAUUGCAGUCAAAUGAAAAGAAAUAAACAAAAAUUAAAGAUCAUAGAACUUACUAUUUUCAAAAUCCUUGUCUAAGCGUCUAAAUUGAUUUUCAAUUAAUGUUAUUUAUCUAUUUUGUCAAAAAUAGAUACAUAACAUUAAGCAAAAAUCAAUUGACUCUGAGUGUCUCAGAACAGACCCGCCUUCAUAAACCCUAGAUUUGAAUUUCGUCAAGCUUCAGUUAUAUUCGAGAGGUUUUGACCAAAGAAUCGAGGUGACGAAAGGCCGGAGACUAUCUGGUAUAAAUUUGAACCGGUUUGGAUGAGUUUGUAUUCUGAUCGAGGUUCUUCCAAUUAAGUUUCGACCAACUGAGUUAUGAUUCGAAGAAAACGGUUAGUAUGAUUGUAAAGAGGAGAUUGAGGAGAGCCAACGGUGUUUGUGGGGUGGAGUUUGGCCACCGGCGCCGUCAUUAUCGGUGAAGAAAUUUCAGGCGGCUAGUUUAGCGUUUUUGAAGAAAGGGGUGUGAACGAUGGGAAUGGGGGGUAGGGGGUUUGUGUUCGGACAUACUUAUACAGAACAUCCUAGGACGUUAACCACCGUUGGAUUAAGAUUGAACGGAUGGGAUUCAAAUACAGAACGACGUCGUUUUGGGUUGCAAAAGGGACUGGACCGGGUAAAAGAAAGACUGGGCUGGAUUGGGCCUGGGUGGGACUUUGAUUAGGGAACACUAGGCCUAAAUUAAAUGACAGCUCAAUUUCAAGGCAAACUUUUUUUAUCUUUUUCCUUUUAUCUAUUUUUCUUUUGUAUUUC